This 493-nucleotide ribosomal RNA is filed under the name uncultured bacterium. RNAcentral describes it as "partial 16S ribosomal RNA". It matches the Rfam family "Bacterial small subunit ribosomal RNA", at positions 28 to 507 of the family's 1533-position model. The record is from RNAcentral.
GACGAACGCUGGCGGCGUGCUUAACACAUGCAAGUCGACGACGCUACUGAGUAGCAAUAUUUAGUAGUGGAGUGGCGCAAGGGUGAGUAAUGUAUACGUAACCAACCCAUCGGAGACGGAUAACAUUUCGAAAGGGAUGCUAAAACGGCAUGAAGCCACGAUUUCGCAUGAGAUUGUGGUUAAAGAACCGGUAACAGGUUGCCGAUGGCUGGGCGUAUAUCCGAUUAGCUAGUUGGUAGUGUAAUGGACUACCAAGGCGACGAUCGGUAGCUGGUCGGAGGGGAAGCUCAGCCACACGGGCACUGAGACACGGGCCAGACUGCUACGGGAGGCAGCAGUGGGGAAUAUUGGGCAAUGACCGCAAGGGUGACCCAGCAACGCCGCGUGGAGGAUGAAGGCCGUAAGGUUGUAAACUCUGACAGGCAGAAAAGAACGGCUAUGGUAAAAGGCCAUAGAAUGACGGUACCUGGCUGAAGCCCCGGCUAACUACGUG